Molecule: ribosomal RNA, 443 nt
Filed under: uncultured bacterium
Lineage: Bacteria
Description: partial 16S ribosomal RNA
Rfam family: Bacterial small subunit ribosomal RNA
Source: RNAcentral
GAUGAACGCUGGCGGCAUGCCUAACACAUGCAAGUCGAUCGGUAAGGCUCUUCGGAGUACACGAGAGGCGGACGGCUGAGUAACGCGUAGGAACACACCCUGCAGUGAGGGAUAAGACACCGAAAGGUGUUCUAAUACCGCAUACGGCCUUCGGAUUAAAGCAUUUAUGCGCUGAAGGAGUGGCCUGCGUCAUAUUAGAUAGUUGGUGAGGUAAUGGCUCACCAAGUCGAUGAUGUGUAGCUGGUCUGAGAGGAUGAUCAGCCAGACUGGAACUGAGACACGGUCCAGACUCCUACGGGAGGCAGAAGUGAGGAAUAUUUCACAAUGAGCGAAAGCUUGAUGGAGCAAUGCCGCGUGCAGGAUGAAGGCCCUCGGGUUGUAAACUGCUUUUAUAAGAGAAGAUUAUGACGGUAACUGAUGAAUAAGGGACGGCUAACUACGUG